Molecule: ribosomal RNA, 403 nt
Filed under: uncultured bacterium
Lineage: Bacteria
Description: partial 16S ribosomal RNA
Rfam family: Bacterial small subunit ribosomal RNA
Source: RNAcentral
AUUGAACGCUGGCGGCAGGCCUAACACAUGCAAGUCGAGCGAGCGGCGGACGGGUGAGUAAUGUAUGGGGACUGCCCGAUAGAGGGGGAUAACUCUUGGAAACGGUGGUUAAUACGGCUAACUGUCGGUGAACCCAUAUGGGAUUAGCUAGUAGGGAAGGUAAUGGCUUACCUAGGCGACGAUCCCUCGCUGGUCUGAGAGGAUGAUCAGCCACACUGGGACUGAGACACGGCCCAGACUCCUACGGAGGCAGCAGUGGGGAAUAUUGCACAAUGGGCGCAAGCCUGAUGCAGCCAUGCCGCGUGUAUGAAGAAGGCCCUAGGGUUGUAAAGUACUUUCAGUCGGGAGGCGUUACCGACAGAAGAAGCACCGGCUAACUCCGUGCCAGCAGCCGCGGUAAUUC